Molecule: ribosomal RNA, 460 nt
Filed under: uncultured bacterium
Lineage: Bacteria
Description: partial 16S ribosomal RNA
Rfam family: Bacterial small subunit ribosomal RNA
Source: RNAcentral
CCUACGGGGGACAGCAGUGAGGAAUAUUGGUCAAUGGACGAAAGUCUGAACCAGCCAAGCCGCGUGAAGGAUGACUGCUCUAUGAGUUGUAAACUUCUUUUAUACAAGAAUAAAACUAGACACGUGUAUUUAUCUGCAUGUACUGUAUGAAUAAGGAUCGGCUAACUCCGUGCCAGCAGCCGCGGUAAUACGGAGGAUCCGAGCGUUAUCCGGAUUUAUUGGGUUUAAAGGGUGCGUAGGUGGGUUGUUAAGUCAGAGGUGAAAGUUUGGGGCUCAACCCGGGAAUUGCCUUUAAUACUGGCGGUCUUGAGUGUAGGUGAGGUAGGCGGAAUGCGUGGUGUAGCGGUGAAAUGCUUAGAUAUCACGCAGAACACCGAUUGCGAAGGCAGCUUACUAAGCUAUAACUGACGUUGAUGCACGAAAGCGUGGGGAGCAAACAGGAUUAGAUACCCGUGUAGUC